CAGCCGCCACGGUAAUACGAAGGGUGCAAGCGUUAAUCGGAAUUACUGGGCGUAAAGCGUGCGUAGGCGGUUUGUUAAGUCUGCUGUGAAAUCCCCGGGCUCAACCUGGGAAUGGCAGUGGAUACUGGCAAGCUAGAGUGUGUCAGAGGAUGGUGGAAUUCCCGGUGUAGCGGUGAAAUGCGUAGAGAUCGGGAGGAACAUCAGUGGCGAAGGCGGCCAUCUGGGACAACACUGACGCUGAGGCACGAAAGCGUGGGGAGCAAACAGGAUUAGAGACCCGUGUAGUCCCUGUCUCUUAUAC
This 301-nucleotide ribosomal RNA is filed under the name uncultured bacterium. RNAcentral describes it as "partial 16S ribosomal RNA". It matches the Rfam family "Bacterial small subunit ribosomal RNA", at positions 509 to 807 of the family's 1533-position model. The record is from RNAcentral.